UACAGAGGUCUCAAGCGUUGUUCGGAUUCAUUGGGCGUAAAGGGUGCGUAGGCGGCGCGGUAAGUCGGAUGUGAAAUCUCGGAGCUUAACUUCGAAACUGCAUUCGAUACUGCCGUGCUUGAGGACUGGAGAGGAGACUGGAAUUUACGGUGUAGCGGUGAAAUGCGUAGAUAUCGUAAGGAAGACCAGUGGCGAAGGCGACUUUCUGGCCUGUUCUUGACGCUGAGGCGCGAAAGCUAGGGGAGCAAACGGG
RNAcentral lists this ribosomal RNA (253 nucleotides) under uncultured bacterium. RNAcentral's name for it is "partial 16S ribosomal RNA". It matches the Rfam family "Bacterial small subunit ribosomal RNA", at positions 524 to 776 of the family's 1533-position model. The record is from RNAcentral.